UCCUUUCCUGCAUUAGAGAUUGGCUCUGGGAGAGGGGAAGGCGGUUGCAGCAUAAUAUUACCUUGUGAUUCCAUGACCCUCCUCUAUGCAUCCCUAACUCUCAAAAGCUGAUUCAGCUUUCAGCUUCAGCUCUGGUGACUCCACUGCUGCAACAGACUCUUCUAACAGGACGCCUACUCACAUAAUAAUUCUGUCCCGCUAUGGAGAUAUCGAUCAAAAUAAUGCCAUUUAACAUAAAAAGAUAUCAGAGCAGAGGGCACAGCAUUCGUCUAUAGUGUGGAAAGAUGCAGCCUGCUGCAGUGACAUCUACGGACCCCAGAGUAGCCGCUAAUAUUGGAGGACUGUUGCCCAACCUGGACCUGCCCAAGAUUUCCAGAGCCAUUUCCCUCUUACCCAUACAGCUGCCAUUUUGUCGCAGCUUAUUCAUCAGACAAUAUUCUUCCUUCCAACCAGAGCAACCUCAAAGACCACAAUCUUCCAACCUAUGUUUCGCACCUUUCAACUGACCUCUUUGAACAGAGUAUAUGCAUCAAAAGGUUUCUUUUCAUUCUCCAUACAAUGCUUAUCAUAAAGCUGGACAGCCACUCGUCCUUGACCUUGUAAUGGACACUCACCUCUUAGAGGUUCCCUGUGUGCAUGGAAAGGUUUCUUUCACUCCUUCCUCGUUCCAGACAGUAAUCGCUCUCUCAUCACAAUGUGGGUAAAAAGAUAUUUUUGACGGAUAUCCAACAAUAAACAGAUAUUUAUUCUCAAUUAAAUAGGUAUAUCCACAAAAACGAUAAAAACAUAAACCCAAACACAGAAAAUGACCCAAAAUAGGCUUCUGGUUUGCUCCACCGUGCACCCUCAGGUAUAAAGCACCACGUUUGCCACUUAUUCGGCAAACUUCUAUAUAAUAUAGAGUGCCGUGCCGCGGGACACUUGCAGGGGUGCCUCAGGUUGGUGGUCAAGGACCAAUUCAAACUAUUUAUUGUCAAUUUAAUAGGCAAAACCAGUGCUGAUGGCUUCCAGUUAUAAAAUAUGUGGACAAACAGAAGCAAAUCUUGUCCCUCACCACACAACUGACCCUAAGGAUGACAUAUAAACAUAAUUUACUUAAUCUAAUAUUUUUUUCGAAAUUUCUCAAUAAGAAAAUUGUGGCCUAGGGGUGCCGUGAAAAAAAAUCUGACAAUCCAGGGUGCCGUGACUCACAAAAGUUUGGGAUCCACUGGCCUAGGGUAUAAAAACACCAACGCGUUUCGGAUUUGAUAUCCUUCCUCAGGGUGAUCUAAAUAGGAAAUUGCUACUAAUGAAUUUUAUUAAUAUCAGAAAAUAGAAAACGUUGCUUUCUAGUGAGAAAAUAAAACAAAAUAAUAAUGUCACGUACAUGACUUAUUCUUAUGUCACAUACCUGACCAUUAUAAUUCUAAUAAUAAAUUGUUCUUAAUAUUUUGGGGAUUUUAGAUAGGCUGAUGUUAAUUUCUUUUGCAAAACAGAUUUUGUAAACCAAAUAAUCUGGGAGAAAAACUAUUGUGCAAAGGAUCAUGAGGCUAAUUCAGACCUGAUCGCUAGAAAAUGAUUUUUGCACUGCUGCAAGCAGAUAGUUGCCGCCCACAGGUAUUUUAGCUGUGCAAGUGUGCAAACGCCUGUGUAGCAGAGCUGUACAAACAGAUUUUGUGCAGUCUCUGCACAGUUCAGGAUUUACUCAGCAGCUGCGAUCACUUCAGCCUGUCCGGGACCGGAAUUGACAUCAGACACCCGCCCUGCAAACGCUUGGGAAUUCCUGUGUUUUUCCAACCACUCCCAGAAAAUGGUCAGUUGCCACCCACAAACGCCUUCUUCCUGUCAAUCUCCUAGCGAACGCUCAUGCGAAUGGAUCCUUUGCACAAACCCAUCGGUGAGCAGCGAUCCGCUUUGUACACAUGCGGCGCGCCUGCGCAUUGCAGUGCAUAUGCAUGCGCAGUUUAGACCUGAUCGCAGGCUGUACGAAAACGCGGCCUACCGAUCAGGUCUAAAUUUCCCCCCAUGUACAGUAUGUGAGUGUAGAAAAUAACCUAAGUAUUCUCAGAUACAACAAUUUUUGAUGGGGCAGUUUUAU
This is a long non-coding RNA of Pseudophryne corroboree (corroboree frog), 2077 nucleotides long. RefSeq lists it as uncharacterized. The record is from RefSeq and is a predicted model, not a curated record. The transcript is spliced from 4 exons. NCBI's taxonomy places the organism in Eukaryota, Metazoa, Chordata, Amphibia, Anura, Myobatrachidae.